Molecule: transfer-messenger RNA, 386 nt
Filed under: Helicobacter pylori
Lineage: Bacteria; Pseudomonadati; Campylobacterota; Epsilonproteobacteria; Campylobacterales; Helicobacteraceae
Also listed under: 1 other name
Rfam family: transfer-messenger RNA
About the family: Bacterial tmRNA, also known as 10Sa RNA or SsrA, is named for its dual tRNA and mRNA-like properties.
Source: RNAcentral
GGGGCUGACUUGGAUUUCGACAGAUUUCUUGUCGCACAGAUAGCAUGCCAAGUGCUACUUGUAAAACAGCAACAGAAAUAACUGUAAACAACACAGAUUACGCUCCAGCUUACGCUAAAGCUGCGUGAGUUAAUCUCCUUUUGGAGCUGGACUGAUUAGAAUUUCUAGCGUUUUAAUCACUCCAUAACCUUAAGCUAGACGCUUUUAAAAGGUGGUUCGCCUUUUAAACUAAGAAACAAGAACUCUUGAAACUACCUCAAGGUUUUAGAAAGUUGGACCAGAGCUAGUUUUAAGGCUAAAAAACCAACCAAUUUUCUAAGCAUUGUAGAAGUUUGUGUUUAGGGCAAGAUUUUUGGACUGGGGUUCGAUUCCCCACAGCUCCACCA